GGAUGUGAGGGCAAUCUGGCUGUGACAUCUGUCAUGCUGUUGAUCACCAGGGUUGAUCUGGCUGGCUAGGCGGGUGUCCCCUUCCUCCCUCACGGCUCCAUGUAUGUCCCUCCUGAAGCUGCACCCUCCAUCAAAGAGAAUGACCGUCCCCAGUAGAGGAGGACUGGUCUUCGGUCGGGGUAUAUGAGUAGCUGCACUCCCCUGCUAGAACUCCAAACAAGCUCUCAAGAUCCCAGAUAGCUGGUACUAUAGGCAUCAUGCUUCACUAUCAUUCCCUUCUCAAUUAAAGAUAGUGCUGUUCUUUUAGCUG
Molecule: small nuclear RNA, 310 nt
Filed under: Callithrix jacchus (white-tufted-ear marmoset)
Lineage: Eukaryota; Metazoa; Chordata; Mammalia; Primates; Cebidae
Description: 7SK RNA
Rfam family: 7SK RNA
About the family: 7SK was discovered as an abundant small nuclear RNA in the mid-70s but a possible function has only recently been suggested. Two independent studies have found that 7SK RNA binds the CDK9/cyclin T complex (known as elongation factor P-TEFb).
Source: Rfam by way of RNAcentral